RNAcentral lists this ribosomal RNA (954 nucleotides) under uncultured bacterium. RNAcentral's name for it is "bacterial SSU rRNA". It matches the Rfam family "Bacterial small subunit ribosomal RNA", at positions 8 to 996 of the family's 1533-position model. The record is from RNAcentral.
AGAGUUUGAUCCUGGCUCAGAAUCAACGCUGGCGGCGCGCUUAACACAUGCAAGUCGCACGAGAAAGUGGAGCAAUCCAUGAGUACAGUGGCGUACGGGUGAGUAACACGUGGAUCAUCUACCUCUUAGUGGGGAAUAACCCUGGGAAACCGGGGCUAAUACCGCAUAAGCUCGAGAGAGGAAAGCAGCAAUGCGCUGAGAGAGGAGUCCGCGGCCGAUUAGCUAGUUGGCAGGGUAAACGCCUACCAAGGCAAAGAUCGGUAGCCGGCCUGAGAGGGCACACGGCCACACUGGCACUGAAACACGGGCCAGACUCCUACGGGAGGCAGCAGUGGGGAAUCUUGCACAAUGGGGGAAACCCUGAUGCAGCGACGCCGCGUGAGCGAUGAAGCCCUUCGGGGUGUAAAGCUCUUUCGGCAGGGACGAUCAUGACGGUACCUGCAGAAGCAGCUGCGGCUAACUACGUGCCAGCAGCCGCGGUAAUACGUAGGCAGCGAGCGUUGUUCGGAGUUACUGGGCGUAAAGGGUGUGUAGGCGGUUGCUUAAGUUUGGUGUGAAAUCUCCCGGCUCAACUGGGAGGGUGCGCCGAAUACUGAGUGACUCGAGUGCGGGAGAGGAGAGUGGAAUUCCUGGUGUAGCGGUGAAAUGCGUAGAUAUCAGGAGGAACACCGGCGGUGUAGACGGCUCUCUGGACCGUAACUGACGCUGAGACACGAAAGCGUGGGUAGCAAACAGGAUUAGAUACCCUGGUAGUCCACGCCCUAAACGAUGCAUAUUUGGUGUGGGUCAUUCAGUUGAUCCGUGCCGGAGCUAACGCGUUAAAUAUGCCGCCUGGGGAGUACAGUCGCAAGGCUGAAACUCAAGGAAUUGACGGGGGCCCGCACAAGCGGUGGAGCAUGUGGUUCAAUUCGACGCAACGCGAAGAACCUUACCUGGGCUCGAACGGCUGGUUAC